UUUACUUUAGUAUAAUAUAUUAUAUUAGCUUUUCGUGCUGGAGAUAGUUUGACUAAGUAAAU
Molecule: transfer RNA, 62 nt
Filed under: Moniezia benedeni
Lineage: Eukaryota; Metazoa; Platyhelminthes; Cestoda; Cyclophyllidea; Anoplocephalidae
Description: tRNA-Glu
Source: RNAcentral